Mustela erminea (ermine) is the source of this 606-nucleotide long non-coding RNA. RefSeq lists it as uncharacterized. The record is from RefSeq and is a predicted model, not a curated record. NCBI's taxonomy places the organism in Eukaryota, Metazoa, Chordata, Mammalia, Carnivora, Mustelidae. The transcript has 2 exons.
GCAAAGCCAAGCAAACAAGAAAGCAGGCUCUGCUUCCCACCAAGGCUCACAAAAUGAGGAAUUCUCCAAACAUUGGAAGGCGUUGGGCUGCUAAAAUGAAUGGCAAAUUUCCCCCAAGACCUAUGGCUACCACACAGCACAGUACAAGAAAUAAGGAGCACAUAAAGAGUCGUGGAGAAGAGGACCCCCACAGCCCAGGGAGAGUUGUUCUUCAAUCCUGUGCUGAGAAGAGGACCCAGGUGUCACAAAGUGGGCCAUGGAAGACACAAAGAUGCACUGCCCAGAUUUUUCUUCUAGGAAAAACCACUUCCCAUCUCCAUGGAGAGGAUUUGCUUACUGUUCUGUUACAAGCUUCUUCCGGGUCUCCUUAGCUUUCCAGCUGGGAUUACCUAUUCUUGAGGCAGCCCUGGCAGAUAUCCGAGCACAGCAAAGUUAGUCAUGAGCGCACUCUUCUUGGGGAGUCCUCAGUGAGUGGCUGGCAAGAAAGUGCCCCCUUCUUCUCCCUCUUCUCCUACUUCUGCCUCUGCUAUUUCUGUUGCUGAUGAACUUUUCUGUCCAUUUGAAUAAUUUCAAAUAAAAAUUUAGAAAAAAGAAAUAAAGAAAAAA